AUGAGCUUUAGUAAGAGUUGGAUUACAGGGUUGCAUAAAUUUUUCUCAGUUCCGAAUUCGGGUUUCAAAACAGUAGUUGAACGAAGGCAAAGUGUCAAGGAUAAAACGACUGCAAGAAAAGUUGUUGCUUCCUUGAAGGAACUCAAACAAAGUGAAGGGACCACCAUUGCCAAGACUACCACAAAGACAAGUAAGAAACCACCUCAUACUCCAAAGAAACGCAGACCAGCUCAACCACAAACCGUCCAAAUUGAAUCAGGGUCUGAAGACGUGUCUCCAGAUUGUUCAAGACCUGCUCCCAAGAAAAAGAAAUAA
Vicia faba (fava bean) is the source of this 315-nucleotide non-coding RNA. NCBI's taxonomy places the organism in Eukaryota, Viridiplantae, Streptophyta, Magnoliopsida, Fabales, Fabaceae. The record is from the annotation of a GenBank genome assembly.